Molecule: microRNA precursor, 108 nt
Filed under: Chlorocebus sabaeus (green monkey)
Lineage: Eukaryota; Metazoa; Chordata; Mammalia; Primates; Cercopithecidae
Description: miRNA (ENSCSAG00000023210.1)
Rfam family: mir-3127 microRNA precursor family (bases 6-89)
Source: RNAcentral
CCCCUGGGCUGGCCAGGCCCAUCAGGGCUUGUGGAAUGGGAAGAAGGGAUCCUUCCCCUUCUGCAGGCUUGCUGGGUGCGGCUGAACCCCUCGUGCGCUCACCCACUC